CCCUUAGAUGUCCUGGGUCGCACGCGUGCUACACUGAUGCAUACAGCGAGUACUCCCAGCUCCGAGAGGCUGCUGGUAAUCAGCAAUAUGCAUCGUGAUGGGGAUAGAUCUUUGGAAUUAUAGAUCUUGAACGAGGAAUUCCUAGUAAUCGCAGGUCAUCACCCUGCGUUGACUAAGUCCCUGCCCUUUGUACACACCGCCCGUCGCUCCUACCGAUUUCGAGUGAUCCGGUGAAUCAUUCGGACCGCGGCCCCUAGGCAUGCGGAAAGUCUAGUAAACCAUAUCACUUAGAGGAAGGAGAAGUCGUAACA
This 311-nucleotide ribosomal RNA is filed under the name uncultured eukaryote. RNAcentral's name for it is "partial 18S ribosomal RNA". It matches the Rfam family "Eukaryotic small subunit ribosomal RNA", at positions 1470 to 1796 of the family's 1831-position model. The record is from RNAcentral.